GAUGAACGCUGGCGGCGUGCCUAAUACAUGCAAGUCGAGCGAACAGACGAGGAGCUUGCUCCUCUGACGUUAGCGGCGGACGGGUGAGUAACACGUGGAUAACCUACCUAUAAGACUGGGAUAACUUCGGGAAACCGGAGCUAAUACCGGAUAAUAUAUUGAACCGCAUGGUUCAAUAGUGAAAGACGGUUUUGCUGUCACUUAUAGAUGGAUCCGCGUCGCAUUAGCUAGUUGGUAAGGUAACGGCUUACCAAGGCAACGAUGCGUAGCCGACCUGAGAGGGUGAUCGGCCACACUGGAACUGAAACACGGUCCAGACUCCUACGGGAGGCAGCAGUAGGGAAUCUUCCGCAAUGGGCGAAAGCCUGACGGAGCAACGCCGCGUGAGUGAUGAAGGUCUUCGGAUCGUAAAACUCUGUUAUUAGGGAAGAACAAAUGUGUAAGUAACUAUGCACGUCUUGACGGUACCUAAUCAGAAAGCCACGGCUAACUACGUG
This 497-nucleotide ribosomal RNA is filed under the name uncultured bacterium. RNAcentral describes it as "partial 16S ribosomal RNA". It matches the Rfam family "Bacterial small subunit ribosomal RNA", at positions 28 to 507 of the family's 1533-position model. The record is from RNAcentral.